RNAcentral lists this ribosomal RNA (253 nucleotides) under uncultured bacterium. Its description in RNAcentral is "partial 16S ribosomal RNA". It matches the Rfam family "Bacterial small subunit ribosomal RNA", at positions 524 to 776 of the family's 1533-position model. The record is from RNAcentral.
UACGGAGGAUCCGAGCGUUAUCCGGAUUUAUUGGGUUUAAAGGGUGCGUAGGCGGAAGAUUAAGUCAGUGGUGAAAGUUUGCAGCUUAACUGUAAAAUUGCCAUUGAUACUGGUUUUCUUGAGUACAGCUGAGGUAGGCGGAAUGUGGUGUGUAGCGGUGAAAUGCAUAGAUAUACCACAGAACACCGAUUGCGAAGGCAGCUUACUAAACUGUAACUGACGCUGAUGCACGAAAGCGUGGGGAUCAAACAGG